RNAcentral lists this long non-coding RNA (634 nucleotides) under Rattus norvegicus (Norway rat). RNAcentral describes it as "long non-coding RNA NONRATT020739". The record is from RNAcentral. Lineage: Eukaryota; Metazoa; Chordata; Mammalia; Rodentia; Muridae.
GAGAAAGGGAAGGCUGAGCCAGCCAUAGCAGGAAAUUGUCUUUUGAAAACAGAUUUCACGGGGUUCCAGCAGCUGGGCAGGUCACCUUGAAGGAGACGGAAACGGAGCAGACAGGAUGGGUCAAUGACUGGAGGCUCAUACCAUGGCAGGAUGGCUAAACUGCCUGUUUCUUGCUCUCUGCCGAAACCUAACCUCAUGUCAGAGCCUAGGAGGUUGUCUCUGAGGUCAUUGGGCUUCUUUAACUGGUCCUCUUCUCAGCACGGCCACAUUGAGAAGUGACACCAGGAGAAAAGCAGUGGAAGACAGCAGAGAAGCCACUUGUGAGUGAAGCCGAGAGCCCUCACCAGAAAUGACACCUCAAUCUUGGACUUCUGGUCUCCAGAAGUGUUGGAAAAUAAGUCUGUUCCAUCACUAACUCCUUGGUAGUCUGUAAGAGCAACCUGAGAGAACACUAAUGCACUACAGACUUCAACACUUAACUAAAUGGAACAAAACCAAACAGAAAGCAAGUACAAGAUCCUUGCCGAGCUGGGCAGGAAACAGCAUGAAGUACUGAGCAGGAAAAACACAGAACCGCCUUCGAGCAAGAGAUGCAGCACCGUGCGGUGUCUGAAAACUCCAUAGACAAAACUGU